Pelobates cultripes (western spadefoot toad) is the source of this 475-nucleotide non-coding RNA. NCBI's taxonomy places the organism in Eukaryota, Metazoa, Chordata, Amphibia, Anura, Pelobatidae. The record is from the annotation of a GenBank genome assembly.
CUCACCCAGCCUGUCUCUCCAUGGUGUCCUCACCCAGCCUGUCUCUCCAUGGUUCCCUCACUCAGCCUGUCUCUCCAUGGUUCCCUCACCCAGCCUGUCUCUCCAUGGUUCCCUCGCUCAGCCUGUCUCUCCAUGGUUCCCUGGCUGUCUCUCCAUUGUUCCUUGGCUGUCUCUCCAUGGUUCCCUCACUCAGCCUGUCUCUCCAUGGUUCCCUCACCCAGCCUGUCUCUCCAUGGUUCCCUCACCCAGUCUGUCUCUCCAUGGUUCCCUCACUCAGCCUGUCUCUCCAUGGUUCCCUCACCCAGCCUGUCUCUCCAUGGUUCCCUCGCUCAUCCUGUCUCUCCAUGGUUCCCUAGCUCAGCCUGUCUCUCCAUGGUUCCCUGGCUGUCUCUCCAUGGUUCCCUCACUCAGCCUGUCUCUCCAUGGUUCCCUCACUCAGCCUGUCUCUCCAUGGUUCCCUCGCCCAGUCUGUCUC